CUCUCCUGCUCUGCUCAUGCCUCACUAGCUAUGUACUGUAACAGUAUGUCAGGGGCCUUUGGUGGGACUCUGAGACUUGCUAGCUUCAGGUACCAGGUUGGCCGCAGAGGGAUAGAGCAACAAGCAGGCUCUUGGAGUCCCUGAUUCCAGAACUUGCCUCUUGGACAGCAUUUCUGGACCUGCCUGGGGCCAGACGGGAGUUCACUGGUCUGAAGGGUGAGUCCCAGGCCAGGCAGCAUUCACCAUAUGCUGAUUGAAGAGCCCUUGAACCAUAAGGGAACAUCAGCAGUAGUCUGGCAGUACUCCUUGUGGGCCUGUGGUGGCACUGGCCGUGGGGUGAGGCUCCUCUCCUAUUGGAAAGGGGAGGGAAGAGUGGGAAGGACUGCAUCUUGUGGUUUGAGUGUCAGUUCAGUUGCAAUACAGUAGAACACCAGGUAGACUUCUGAGGUUUUUGACUCUACUCCUUAGCUCCUGGAUGGCAUCUAGACCUGCCUGGGGACUGGGGGAACUUGCCACUCUGAAGGGAGAGACACAGGCCUGGCUGGCUUUCCCACAUGCUGAUUGUAGAGCCCCAGGCUGUGAGUGAACAUAGGCCAUAGCCACGGAAUGGUUACAGCAGGCCUUAGGAAAGACUCAGUGCUGUGCUGGCUUUAGCUCUAAUCCAGCACAGUCAUACCUGAUGGCCACAGAGGUGCUUGUAUUAGUCCACCCCAAGCUUCAGAUGGCUCAGAAUAGAGAGACACUCUGCUUGUCUGGGAGAAAGUAAAGGGAGAGAACAAGAGUCUCUGCCUGGUAAAUCUUAUCCAAGAACAUCAGGUAGUAACUCUACAAGUCUGCAAGAAUCAUAGUGUUACUGAACUUAUAUUGUCCCUAAAGCAGAUACAGCUUAGAUCACAGCACCCAAGUUCUUUCAAUUAUCUGGAAAGCCUUCCCAAGAAGCACGGGUACAAACAAGCUCAGACAGUGAAGACUGCAAUAAAUACCUAAUUCUGCAAUGCCCAGACACAAACAAACAUCUGAAAGUAUUAAGACAAUCCAGGAAAAUAGGCCCUCACCAAGUGAAUGAAAUAAGACACCAGGGGCCAAUCCUGGAGAAACAGAUAUAUGACCUUCCAGACAAAGAAUUCAAAAUAACUGUUUUGAGGAAACUCAAAGAAAUUCAAGGUAACCCAGAGAAGGGAUUCAGAAUUCUAUCAGAUUAAUUUAACAAAGAGAUUGAGAUAAUUUAAAAGACUCAAGCAGAAAUUCUGGAGCUGGGCCACGUGUGGUGGCUCAUGCCUAUAAUCCCAG
Molecule: long non-coding RNA, 1290 nt
Filed under: Homo sapiens (human)
Lineage: Eukaryota; Metazoa; Chordata; Mammalia; Primates; Hominidae
Description: HSALNT0160966
Source: RNAcentral